This 510-nucleotide ribosomal RNA is filed under the name uncultured bacterium. RNAcentral's name for it is "partial 16S ribosomal RNA". It matches the Rfam family "Bacterial small subunit ribosomal RNA", at positions 28 to 507 of the family's 1533-position model. The record is from RNAcentral.
GACGAACGCUGGCGGCGUGCUUAACACAUGCAAGUCGAACGAAGAGCGACGGAAGCUUGCUUCUAUCAAUCUUAGUGGCGAACGGGUGAGUAACGCGUAAUCAACCUGCCCUUCAGAGGGGGACAACAGUUGGAAACGACUGCUAAUACCGCAUACGAUCUAACCUCGGCAUCGAGGAUAGAUGAAAGGUGGCCUCUACAUGUAAGCUAUCACUGAAGGAGGGGAUUGCGUCUGAUUAGCUAGUUGGAGGGGUAACGGCCCACCAAGGCGAUGAUCAGUAGCCGGUCUGAGAGGAUGAACGGCCACAUUGGGACUGAGACACGGCCCAGACUCCUACGGGAGGCAGCAGUGGGGAAUCUUCCGCAAUGGACGAAAGUCUGACGGAGCAACGCCGCGUGAGUGAUGACGGCCUUCGGGUUUUAAAGCUCUGUUAAUCGGGACGAAAGGCCUUCUUGCGAAUAGUGAGAAGGAUUGACGGUACCGGAAUAGAAAGCCACGGCUAACUACGUG